RNAcentral lists this ribosomal RNA (393 nucleotides) under Actinomycetota bacterium. RNAcentral describes it as "partial 23S ribosomal RNA". It matches the Rfam family "Bacterial large subunit ribosomal RNA", at positions 2533 to 2925 of the family's 2925-position model. The record is from RNAcentral. Lineage: Bacteria; Bacillati; Actinomycetota.
CGGCUCGUCGCAUCCUGGGGCUGGAGUAGGUCCCAAGGGUUGGGCUGUUCGCCCAUUAAAGCGGUACGCGAGCUGGGUUUAGAACGUCGUGAGACAGUUCGGUCCCUAUCCGCCGCGCGCGCAGGAGUCUUGAGAAAGGCUGUCCCUAGUACGAGAGGACCGGGACGGACGAACCUCUGGUGUGUCAGUUGUCCUACCAAGGGCACUGCUGAUUAGCUACGUUCGGAACGGAUAACCGCUGAAAGCAUCUAAGCGGGAAGCCGGUUUCAAGAUGAGGACUCCCAUCCUUUGUGGAGUAAGGCCCCCGCGUGGACCACCGGGUUGAUAGGCCAGAAGUGGAAGAACGGUAACGUUUGCAGCUGACUGGUACUAAUAGGCCGAGGAUUUGCCACA